CCUGACUCUCCUAUUAACUCGCUGUGGAACUUUGGAAGCAAGUGCCUUAUUAGUCACUAUGCCUCAGACCCCUGGGUGGACUAGGUAUCCUAAUAACAGCACCUACUUCCUAGGAUUAGAGAGAACAUCUAUAAAGUGCUUGGGAUGUCACAUAGUCAGGGCUCAGUCAGUGUCAACUGUUAUUAUUCAGCAUGGCCGUGUUGGGUCCUCUUUGACAAGCCCGACACUCCUCAUUUCCCAACAACUCGGCUACCUUAAACAGACCCCAAGUUCCCGCAGAGCUGAGAAGCGGCUACUCUUAGAUUUUCCUGGUCACCCAACUGGAGGGGUUUCCAGACUCUCAGGAGCUUCUUGACUCUCUAGCCUCAUCAGAACAUUAAGUUCUCAGCAUUGCAAGGUCCUGUAACACUUUACAACUUAGGUUGAUGGGCAAUCCUCCCAAAGCUGACACCCAUAUCCUGUGGGUAACAGAUGAUGAAAGGUGAGCUCAGGCCUGUUCAUUCUUCAUGGGUUUGGUGUGCUAGUCUGUCUUCCCCAAGAAGAUAAGUGCCACUGAGGGCAGAAAACAUGGUGUUACAGGUUUCUGGGUCCCUGGCCCUUUUUCUCCAAGAACCUACAUUAGGGUUUCUCACACUAGAUAUAUCCAAUAGAUGUUUAUCUACUAUUAUUAUUUUUUAACAUUUAUUUAUUUAUUUUGAGAAAGAGAGAGAGAGAGAGAGACAGCAUGAGCACACAAGCAGGGAAGGGGCAGAGAGAGAGGGAGAGAGAAUCUCAAGCAGGCUCCAUGUUGUCAGCACAGAGUCCGAUGCCGGGCUUGAUCCCUCAGACGGUGAGAUCAUGAUGGGAGCCAAGAUCAAGAGUUGGGUGCUUAACUGACUGAGCCACCCAGGCAACCCAAGAGACGGUUUUUCUGCGUGAAAACUUUGCUUCAGUCAGUCUAUAUUUACUUUCACUUUUGCACUCAUUCCAUUUCUUUCUUUUCUUUUCUUUUUUUUAAGUAAGCUCUAGGCCCAACAUGGGGCUUGAACUCAUUACCUUGAGAUCAAGAGUCUCCUGCUCUACCGACUGAGCCAGUCUGGUACUCUAUAUACUCAUUCCACUUCUAAGACCCAAUGGGAAGUAGGUUUUCCCCUUCCUCAAAUGACAGAACCUUAAAAAUGGCCUGCCAUCUGGUCCCAGAAAGCCUGGGGAUUGGAGAAGUGUGUCCAAGUGGGCCCCAGCAGUGCUCUCCAUUCAUUGAUGUGACUUUCUUUUCCUAAGGUAUUCCCACUGCCCUCAUUUGCCUUGGGCCUCCAUGAAUCCUCCCCCCAGCCCCAGAGGGCUGCUCCAGGCUGCAGCAGACAGAGCCUGGGGAGCUCCCAGGCCUCCAAAGAUGUAUGAGCCCAUCUGAUCACUUGGCAGCUGUUGGGGAAAUAUAAUUAAAAACCAAGUCCCCUGCCAACCCAAACAGCCUCUCCACAAAGGUAGA
This is a long non-coding RNA of Acinonyx jubatus (cheetah), 1468 nucleotides long. RefSeq lists it as uncharacterized. Lineage: Eukaryota; Metazoa; Chordata; Mammalia; Carnivora; Felidae. The transcript is spliced from 3 exons. The record is from RefSeq and is a predicted model, not a curated record.